RNAcentral lists this ribosomal RNA (523 nucleotides) under uncultured bacterium. RNAcentral's name for it is "bacterial SSU rRNA". It matches the Rfam family "Bacterial small subunit ribosomal RNA", at positions 356 to 896 of the family's 1533-position model. The record is from RNAcentral.
GGGGAAUAUUGGACAAUGGACCGAGAGUCUGAUCCAGCAAUUCUGUGUGCACGAUGAAGUUUUUCGGAAUGUAAAGUGCUUUCAGUUGGGAAGAAAGAAAUGACGGUACCAACAGAAGAAGUGACGGCUAAAUACGUGCCAGCAGCCGCGGUAAUACGUAUGUCACGAGCGUUAUCCGGAUUUAUUGGGCGUAAAGCGCGUCUAGGUGGUUAUAUAAGUCUGAUGUGAAAAUGCAGGGCUCAACUCUGUAUUGCGUUGGAAACUGUAUAACUAGAGUACUGGAGAGGUAAGCGGAACUACAAGUGUAGAGGUGAAAUUCGUAGAUAUUUGUAGGAAUGCCGAUGGGGAAGCCAGCUUACUGGACAGAUACUGACGCUGAAGCGCGAAAGCGUGGGUAGCAAACAGGAUUAGAUACCCUGGUAGUCCACGCUGUAAACGGUGAUUACUAGGUGUUGGGGGUCGAACCUCAGCGCCCAAGCAAACGCGAUAAGUAAUCCGCCUGGGGAGUACGUACGCAAGUAUG